This 319-nucleotide ribosomal RNA is filed under the name uncultured Prevotella sp. RNAcentral describes it as "bacterial SSU rRNA". It matches the Rfam family "Bacterial small subunit ribosomal RNA", at positions 28 to 339 of the family's 1533-position model. Lineage: Bacteria; Pseudomonadati; Bacteroidota; Bacteroidia; Bacteroidales; Prevotellaceae. The record is from RNAcentral.
GAUGAACGCUAGCUACAGGCUUAACACAUGCAAGUCGAGGGGCAUCGAGAAGAAAGCUUGCUUUCUUUGUCGGCGACCGGCGCACGGGUGAGUAACGCGUAUCCAACCUUCCCCGCAGUAGGGCAUAGCCCGGCGAAAGUCGGAUUAAUACCCUAUGUUGUGCUUUGAGGACAUCUGACGAGCACUAAAGUUUCACGCCAGGGGAUGGGGAUGCGUCUGAUUAGCUUGUUGGCGGGGUAACGGCCCACCAAGGCGACGAUCAGUAGGGGUUCUGAGAGGAAGGUCCCCCACAUUGGAACUGAGACACGGUCCAAACUCC